RNA transcript from Pleuronectes platessa (European plaice), 3552 nucleotides. RefSeq lists it as uncharacterized. The record is from RefSeq and is a predicted model, not a curated record. The transcript is spliced from 17 exons. Lineage: Eukaryota; Metazoa; Chordata; Actinopteri; Pleuronectiformes; Pleuronectidae.
CAUGGCGGCGCUCUCAAAUUGUUUGUUGUGGCCUCAUCGUCGGUGACAAACUGGUGAGGUUCAACCACAACGACAGGAUCUUGUACCAGGAGAUGAAAGCUCUCCCCCGGCGCGCGGUCUGAACAGGGAUGAACUCAAGGAGCCGCGAUGGAAGAGGAGGGGGCAAUCAACUUCAAAGCUCUGAGGGCCAAGUUUCAGGAAGAGGCCCGCCUGGCUCAGUCCAACAACAGACGGCCAGCUGUUGCUGAGAAACCCAAACAUCUUCCACCUACUGGAGGACACUGCGCCUCCGUGGUUAGCAGUACCAGUGUUGCUGUGGAAAGCAAGAUACCAGUGGCUACCCGGGUCUUUUUCCGAGAUGGGCUGCAGGCAUCUGGAGGCAAGCGACCAAUUUCCUUUUCACCACAACCUCGGCCGACAUCCCCCUCGUCCCAGCUCACCAACGGAGACAGCACAACAAGGCAGUCCCUCAAAGAGCGACACAUGCCUCAGGUGCUUCCUGCCUUCCCUGUAAAAGAGAAGAAAGAAGCACCAGUCAGAAAGGCGCCCAAACCGGAACCAGAGUCACGAAAAGAACUCCUGCCGCACACUAAAAUCAAGAAGAAGGGUUUGCUGCUUCCCUUCAAGUCCGUCAAAGCAUCAAAAGUCAGUGCAGUAAAUGGAGAGGAGCCCACUUAUAAUGAUUUGACCAUGAGACCCUCUAGUGCUCCUGGCGAGUUGCCCUCGAUGGCGAGACAGACCGCAGAAGACGGUGUAUCAGUCGAAAGUGAUCACUCUACUGUCGAGUGGCCCCUUUCAAGCCCAGAUAUGAGGAUCACCCCUCCGUCUUCGGAGACGAGCGGCGACUCUGACAGCAGAAUCCUUAGCACCUUGGAGAGGGCCAAGAGAAAGUUCUCACGCCGGCAGAUGUUGUUUUCCAUAAAACCCAAGAGCCUGCAUUCCCCCGACUAUGCAACAAGAGACAAGGCGUUCCCUUUGCCACCGAAGUACGUCCUAAGUUCUGAGCCUGACCUCCCUAUACCCCCACCGGUCUGCUUGCCACACCUGGCUUGUAUUUCAGCGCGGCCUUUCUUCAAAGCCAACAAUACACUUAAGCCUUUAUUCACUAAGCAGUUGGGCAGGGAUCGAGCUGCAUGUCCCAUUGUGAGGACGACUGAACCUCAUUCCCCGUCUGCUCCUCCAAAGAAACCUCUACCUGACCUGAGCUCUCUGGGAAGACAGCCAGCGAAGCCCCCCAGACCUCCAUUAGUAGACCUGAGCUGCCACCGUCUACCCACAGCCCAUGUUGUGCCACCAGGUCUUAGCCAAGCUGCAGCUGUGGAGCCAGAGUGUGAGCUCCCAUCCAUCCCCAACCCUGUGCUGGACGCUCCAGAGUUUCCAGAGUUUAAGAUUUCAGAAAUCGAAGCAGCAGAGGGAGAAGCUGUCGAUAUCGCUGCACUCGAACUGGAGGCUUUAGACUUUGUCAUCUCUGACCUGCCCUUACCAGUUGACUUUGAUGUCCCAGAUUUUGAGGCUUCCCAGCCUGAUUUAUUUGGGUGUGAUCCCACAGAGCCCGGCGUGAGCUCCGUCACCCAAGAUCUGAACAUCGGCAGUCGAAAUAUAAUCCUGCUUGAUCCAGCCAGCUUCCCUGAACCAAUAAACUUUUCAGAUUUCCAAGAGCCUGCUGCGCCAGAGCAGUGGUCUCAGAGUGGGGAGGCGAUCGCACACCCUCUUUCUCACUGUCACGCUGAUGAGCCUGAUCUGGGAGCUGCUGAGUGCCACUCGGUCCCAGAGGAAACAGCGCUUAAUAACCAUGCAGAAAUGAAUGAUUGUAUUCAGACACAUCCGAGUGCUCCUCAACAGGACAAUUCCUAUGAAGCGUGUGACAAUGUGUACGAAGAUGUUGAAAACCUCAACAAAGCUGUCUUUGGCCAGAGCUCUCGUAAACGCAGAGCUGGUCUGAAGAAUCCAUAUGCUGACCCCCAAAAAAUGAAGGAGGAGGCGUCCCUAAACACAUGGCCACGGAAUCUAUGUAAGGAACGCCAAAGCCCCAACACUGCUGACUGUAAAGAACAGAAGAAGCGGGAGAAGCAUCGUUUUGAGAAGGAGAAAAAGGAGCAAAAAGAGAGGGAGAAAAAGGAAAAUGAAAUGAAAAAGAAGUUCAAGGUGACAGGCGAGGAGCAGCCCAUGUACCACGCCAAGGUGAUGGUGGCCAGUAAAGUCCGCAAGCAUGACCUGCCUGUGAAGAGCGGGGACACGGUCAGCAUCAUCCGCACCACUAACUGCCCCAAAGGCAAAUGGUUGGCUCGAGACGAAGACCACAAGUAUGGUUAUAUUUCAGUCAUGAAUGUGGAGCUAAAUAUCAAGGAGAUGCUGGAACUGGGGAAGAAGGCCCAAGCUGCAGGACGAGGAGGAAACCCAGACGGAGACACCAUCAGCAACGACAGCAGAUCCUCCAGUCACCCUGUGCUAACAAGUAGUUUCAGUGAUGACAGCGAGGAGUGGGCCUGUGAAGACGAGACUCUCUCGCCCUCCAACGAAAGCCAUAGUUUUCCCCAGCGGACCUCGUCCAUGUCGGAGAUGUCUUGUACCCAUGUCAGCACCCAGCACACUCUGAGCGAUGCCAACCUGGAGGACCUACACACACAAACCAGACAUGAGGCCCUGCAGAAACUGGCCAUCUUCUUCCAACACACCAAAGAUGAAUUGGUUAAAGCUGAUGAUGUUGAAGGAAAAACACCCACAAAUGCUGAACCACCAGGUGAGUUUACAGACCUUUUUUUUUUUUUCAUGACUGCACUGUUGUCACCACUUCUUUCGCACUCACUGAUACUGGUGAGCUAAGAGGACACCCCUCACAGAUCACUUUGAGGACACUGGAGUCUAAGCACUGGUUGGCGUCUCGCCUGUCAUGGAAAAUAAACUAGGUCUUGUGUGCUGUUGAGGAGCCUCCAAAACCGUGAGUGUUGAGUCUCCUUCUAAUCAACGGGUGAAGCUCGGCUCCGUUUGAUCUCUAUUUGUAUUCGUGGAGUACUCGUAGAUAUUGGCAAAGAAGCACUCGCAGUACUUGAGGUUAUCUGGUAUCCGCUGACAUGAACUGUAAUGUUCCAUUUUGUUUUGUACGACAGGGAAAAGGAGGUCGACUUCACCGAGCUGGAACUCCUUCCUCCCCCACCACUAUACGCUGACACCUUCUGAUUACCUCACCGGCUAAAACUUUAACCGGACUCCUGGUAUUGAUGCUAUGAAGUAGAUCUGCCAUUGGGACCUGUUUCCCAUGAAGUUCAACAUCUAUUUUAACUUCAGUGGGCAGAGAAAAGAGAAAACUGUAUCAUGUAUGAGAAAUGAAGCUGCUGAUGUGACCACAUUCAAUCCAAAUAUCACUUUGUUGUCACUUUUGUGUUCCGCACUUAUUCUUUUUCUGAAGUUGCUGUUAAAAAGAGCAAACUGCACAAAAGAAGUCACUGUGCUUUAAUCACAACUGUUCACUUGUUGCUCGGGUUUAAGAGUAUGUUCUUUGCAUUUGGAUUUUCUCCGGUUUGUCUGUUACAUCUAAUAAAUAUUUCUCAUUGA